UACAGAGGGUGCGAGCGUUGUCCGGAAUCACUGGGCGUAAAGGGCGCGUAGGUGGCGGCCCAAGUCCAUGGUGAAAGCUCGAUGCUCAACAUCGAGUCGGCCACGGAUACUGGGUUGCUCGAGCACUGUAGGGGCAGAUGGAAUUCCGGGUGUAGCGGUGGAAUGCGUAGAGAUCCGGAAGAACACCGGUGGCGAAGGCGGUCUGCUGGGCAGUUGCUGACACUGAGGCGCGAAAGCGUGGGGAGCAAACAGG
This 253-nucleotide ribosomal RNA is filed under the name uncultured bacterium. Its description in RNAcentral is "partial 16S ribosomal RNA". It matches the Rfam family "Bacterial small subunit ribosomal RNA", at positions 524 to 776 of the family's 1533-position model. The record is from RNAcentral.